Molecule: ribosomal RNA, 586 nt
Filed under: uncultured bacterium
Lineage: Bacteria
Description: partial 16S ribosomal RNA
Rfam family: Bacterial small subunit ribosomal RNA
Source: RNAcentral
UGGGGAAUUUUGGACAAUGGGCGAAAGCCUGAUCCAGCAAUGCCGCGUGUGUGAAGAAGGCCUUCGGGUUGUAAAGCACUUUUGUCCGGAAAGAAAUCCUUGGCUCUAAUACAGUCGGGGGAUGACGGUACCGGAAGAAUAAGCACCGGCUAACUACGUGCCAGCAGCCGCGGUAAUACGUAGGGUGCAAGCGUUAAUCGGAAUUACUGGGCGUAAAGCGUGCGCAGGCGGUUUGCUAAGACCGAUGUGAAAUCCCCGGGCUAACCUGGGAACUGCAUUGGUGACUGGCAGGCUAGAGUAUGGCAGAGGGGGGUAGAAUUCCACGUGUAGCAGUGAAAUGCGUAGAGAUGUGGAGGAAUACCGAUGGCGAAGGCAGCCCCCUGGGCCAAUACUGACGCUCAUGCACGAAAGCGUGGGGAGCAAAACAGGAUUAGAUACCCUGGUAGUCCACGCCCUAAAACGAUGUCAACUAGUUGUUGGGGAUUCAUUUCCUUAGUAACGUAGCUAACGCGUGAAGUUGACCGCCUGGGGAGUACGGUCGCAAGAUUAAAACUCAAAUGAAUUGACGGGGUCAUAGCUGUUUCCU